This 564-nucleotide long non-coding RNA is filed under the name Ricinus communis (castor bean). Its description in RNAcentral is "long non-coding RNA (RCOM_LNC003336)". The record is from RNAcentral. Lineage: Eukaryota; Viridiplantae; Streptophyta; Magnoliopsida; Malpighiales; Euphorbiaceae.
UUGUUGAUUUUAAUAAUGGUUCUACUUAAUACCCGACAGAUAAAAUAUCAUAGUAAGAUUAGGAUUAAAUAGAUUAAUCACUAUUAAUUCUAUUAGGAUUAAAAGAUUAAAUUAAUUAAAAUAAAAUUAGUAAUUAUCGAUUUAUUCCAAAAUAUUUUAAUCAUUCACGACUUUAUAUAUGUUCUAGAUACCUAUAAUGUAUUAAGAAAAGUAGAUUUUGAUUCAAUUUAUUUUCAAAAGAAAUUAAUUGAAAAUUUCAUUUUAAAUAAAAUAUACCAGUGGGCGGCUUGAACCUUGGUAGGUAGUAAAAGCUGGAGUGUCAUCCAUCAAACUACAAUCAACUUAACAUUAAAAUAGAAAUUAAAACUAUAUAAUGUUUGAAUUAUGUUACAGAACCAAAAUUUAGUUUUAUAUGAGUUUGGUUCGGAUUUGAUUUUAUAUUUAUAUAAUUUCAACAGUUCUUUCUACUUCUGUUUGAAAUGCUUUUCAAUUUGUUCUCCAAAUUUAUUGUUUAUUUUGUGACUCUUUAUAAUUAUCAAAAAAUUUAACUACAAAUAUAAUUAA